ACACAUGCAAGUCGAGCGGAAAGGCCCUUCGGGGUACUCGAGCGGCGAACGGGUGAGUAACACGUGAGUAAUCUGCCCUGCGCUCUGGGAUAGCCACCGGAAACGGUGAUUAAUACCGGAUAGGACCACUUCACGCAUGUGAUGGUGGUGGAAAGUUUUUUCGGCGCAGGAUGUGCUCGCGGCCUAUCAGCUUGUUGGUGAGGUAACGGCUCACCAAGGCUUUGACGGGUAACCGGCCUGAGAGGGUGACCGGUCACACUGGGACUGAGACACGGCCCAGACUCCUACGGGAGGCAGCAGUGGGGAAUAUUGGACAAUGGGCGGAAGCCUGAUCCAGCAACGCCGCGUGAGGGAUGACGGCCUUCGGGUUGUAAACCUCUUUCAGUACCGACGAAGCGCAAGUGACGGUAGGUACAGAAGAAGGACCGGCCAACUACGUGCCAGCAGCCGCGGUAAUACGUAGGGUCCGAGCGUUGUCCGGAAUUAUUGGGCGUAAAGGGCUCGUAGGCGGUUUGUCGCGUCGGGAGUGAAACACCGGGCUUAACNUCGGUGCUUGCUUUCGAUACGGGCAGACUAGAGGUAUGCAGGGGAGAAUGGAAUUCCUGGUGUAGCGGU
RNAcentral lists this ribosomal RNA (615 nucleotides) under uncultured Actinomycetes bacterium. RNAcentral's name for it is "bacterial SSU rRNA". It matches the Rfam family "Bacterial small subunit ribosomal RNA", at positions 51 to 682 of the family's 1533-position model. The record is from RNAcentral. Lineage: Bacteria; Bacillati; Actinomycetota; Actinomycetes.